Molecule: non-coding RNA, 204 nt
Organism: Oryza barthii
Lineage: Eukaryota; Viridiplantae; Streptophyta; Magnoliopsida; Poales; Poaceae
Source: Rfam
AAUAAGUGCAGCAAUAAGUUUUCGCGACCAACUUUGAUCGUUCGUCUUAUUUAAAUUUUUUUUAUAAUUAACAUUUUUUUGUUAUGAGAUGAUAAAACAAGAAUAGUACUUUAUUCGUGGCUUAUGUUUUCAAAUUUUUUCAAAAAAUUUUCAGAUAAGACAAACGGUCAAAGUUGGGCGCGGAAAACCAUGGCUGCACUUAUU